AGCAGCCGCGGUAAUUCCAGCUCCAAUAGCGUAUAUUAAAGUUGUUGCAGUUAAAAAGCUCGUAGUUGAAUUUCGGGGUUAGUAGGCUGGUCAUGCCACCGGUAUGUACUGGUCUUUCUGAUUCCUCCUUCCUGAUGAACUGUAAUGCCAUUAAUUUGGUGUUGCAGGGAAUCUGGACUGUUACUUUGAAAAAAUUAGAGUGUUUAAAGCAGGCUAACGCUUGAAUACAUUAGCAUGGAAUAAUGAAAUAGGACGCUCGAUCCUAUUUUGUUGGUUUCUAGGAUUGACGUAAUGAUUAAUAGGGAUAGUUGGGGGCAUUAGUAUUCAAUUGUCAGAGGUGAAAUUCUUGGAUUUAUUGAAGACUAACUACUGCGAAAGCAUUUGCCAAGGAUGUUUUCAUCAAUCAAGAACGAAAGUUAGGGGAUCGAAGACGAUCAGAUACCGUCGUAGUCUUAACCAUAAACUAUGCCGACUAGGGAUCGGAUGAUGUUAAUUUUUAAUGACUCAUUC
This 510-nucleotide ribosomal RNA is filed under the name uncultured Glomus. RNAcentral describes it as "SSU rRNA". It matches the Rfam family "Eukaryotic small subunit ribosomal RNA", at positions 569 to 1081 of the family's 1831-position model. Lineage: Eukaryota; Fungi; Glomeromycota; Glomeromycetes; Glomerales; Glomeraceae. The record is from RNAcentral.